Molecule: RNA transcript, 3439 nt
Organism: Rhinopithecus roxellana (golden snub-nosed monkey)
Lineage: Eukaryota; Metazoa; Chordata; Mammalia; Primates; Cercopithecidae
Exons: 1
Source: RefSeq, a predicted model, not a curated record
CCAGGCUGGUCUUGAACUCCCGAGCUCAGGCAAUCCACCCGCCUCGGCCUCCCAAAGUGCUAGGAUUACAAGUGUGAGCCACUGCGCCUGGUGAGGCUACAUUUUUGAAUGAUUCCCCCAACUAUCCAAAUACUAGGAUCCUCUCAUAACACACCCAUUAUGUUCUAGUUUAGACAUGGAUAAGCAUCAUUAAAUGCUUCCUUCCUAUCUGCCAGCUCUCAAUGAGGAGUAUGUCAGCGUUUUCCAUAUGGGUAUUGAAGGCAGUAUCCUGUCCCAGACAUACCAGGGAUGCAGAUUGGUGAGACGAGUAGAGGGGGAAGAGGGCUCUCUUAUAUCCGGAGUGUUCAUGGAGAGGAAGUGGUUUCAUUUCUGAGCUAUUAAGUAACAUUCUCUCCUGGAAUAAGGGACCCUUUUCCACUUCCUCAAAUAUUGUGUGCAUUGGAAGAUGGCCUUCAGGAUACAGAGUUAGGUGGGUGGAUGGUGAUUUUACAUCUGUUGAUCAGGGUCUAAGAAAAUAAUUCGGAUAAGCGCAGGAGGGUGGGCUGGACAACUUAUCCACGUGAUCCCCAGCAGGCACUUGGACAGCGAAAGUGUAGGUGUGCACAAAUUCACAUUUGAUUCAUUCAGAGUUUGGCUUUCAUUCUGGGUUCGGCAGUUGUGGCUGAGGGGGAGGAAGAGGAGGCCCAUAUCUCUGCUCCAAGGCUUCUUCCCCACAAACCUUCUUAUCCACAGGCAUGGAGCCAAGGUCGAGGGUGGAAGUCCACAACUGUCAAACACUAAUUUCACCUAAAGCCAAAGCAGCCCUACAGGGGACUGGGAAAGAGACCCGCUUCUCUCUCACCCCUUCUGCUAGAGGUGGUUUAUCCGUUACACCCAGGAACAUGAAGGGAAAUUGUGUAGGGAAUGGGCUUCAAUAUCUAAGAGUUCUGGUUCAAAUCCUGGCUGCCUGUUACUCUUCAGUAUUGCAAAGUGUAUUUAAAUCCUUUGAGGCUGUUUUCCCUGUAUGUAAAAUGGAGACUCACCGAGGUUUGUUUGUUUUUGCAAGGAUUGAAUGAGGUAGUAUAGGGGAUAGUGCUUGGCCUGAGCCCUCCAUCUCCUUCAAAUGUGUUUUCCUAGGUAGACGUAUCUUCUUAACAUCACUCAGAAAGGAAGAACCCACUCAGCAAUGGGUUCUUUUAUCUUCUAUUUAAUGCUAGUCAGUCUUUGCUGUUCAAUCUUAAUAACACAAUUAACAGUAGGGAUAACAAUAUCUUCUGGUGAUUCAGUCCCCAUCUCUUAAUUUUGAUUUCUAUGGGCAAAAGACCCUUUACCAAAAUCCCUAAAUCCCUCUUCCUAUUCAAAGAAAGACUGAGUUAGGAAGUUGAGCUUAGGCCAAGGCUUUGUAUAGCUCUGAGGAGACAGAUUUUGAAGGACCAUAAAGCUACUGAAGAUCCUUGUAGUAGAGCCUUUGGAAAGCAGUUUUGUUACCUGACUUUGCAGUAUUUUAGAUCCCUGGAACACCAGAUGCUUUCCUAUUUGAAGGUUUGCAGAAGUACACAGGCCUUUGCCAACAGAAAGCAGCCCCAAGGGUGGAGGGAGUGGAGCUACUCAUGAAUAAUGGAGAACCUAGCAACUUCAGAAUUUGGCUAUUGCGACUGAAAACAGUUCUGCCUGUCCACUGGGGAUUGGUAGAAGAUGAGCUAAGUCUCCUUUAAAAGGCUGCAGCCUUUUGUUGGCCAGGCGUGGUGGCUCACGCCUGUAAUUCUAGCACUUUUGGGAGGCCGAGGUGGGUGGAUCACCUGAGGUUGGGAGUUCGAGACCAACCUGACCAACAUGGAGAAACCCCAUCUCUACUAAAAAUACAAAAUUAGCUGGGCGUAGCUAGGGGUGUGUUUCAGGGGGGAUUGGGGCAAACCAGGCAGGCGAGGACCCAGGCCUGUGCCGCUGUUUGCCUAUCCCUCAUCCCUCGGCACCAAGGCUACUCGAGCCCCAGAGUGUUUUUUCCUUGUUCCCGCCGCCUCCUAGUCCCUGGCCCAACAUGAUACUGACCAAAGCUCAGUACAAGGAGAUAGCCCAGUGCCUAGUGUCUGUGCCGCCCACCAGGCAGAGCCUGAGGAAGCUGAAGCAGAGUUUCCCAGUCAAUCGCGGGCCACUCUGCUGAGCAUCUUCUCCCAGGAGUACCAGAAACACAUUAAAAGAACACAUGCCAAACAUCAUACUUCAGAAGCAAUUGAAAGUUAUUACCAGAGGUACCUGAAUGGAGUGGUGAAAAAUGGAGCUGCCCCAGUGCUCCUGGACCUGGCCAAUGAAGUGGACUAUGCACCCUCAUUAAUGGCUCGGCUUAUCCUGGAGAGGUUUCUACAGGAACAUGAGGAAACUGCACCCUCCAAGUCUGUUAUAAAUAGUAUGCUACGGGACCCUUCUCAGAUUCCAGAUGGAGUUCUAGCAAAUCAGGUCUAUCAGUGCAUUGUGAACGACUGCUGUUAUGGACCACUGGUGGACUGCAUCAAGCAUGCCAUUGGUCAUGAGCAUGAAGUCCUGCUGAGAGACUUACUUCUAGAGAAAAACCUGCCCUUCCUUGGUGAAGAUCAGCUCCGUGCAAAGGGUUGUGACAAAACACCAGACUUUAUUUUACAAGUACCAGUUGCUGUAGAAGGGCACAUAAUUCACUGGAUUGAAAGCAAAGCCUCAUUUGGUGAUGAAUGUAGCCACCACGCCUACCUGCAUGACCAGUUCUGGAGCUACUGGAAUAGGAGCUGGACUGCAACCGGGAAAGGGGCAUCCUGCUCAAAGCCUGUUUCCCUACGAACAUUGUCACCUUAUGCCACAGCAUAGCUUGACCCUGAAGAUCCUGGAAGAGAAGCUGGGAGGAAAAGAGACCCAGCGUUGCAUUACCAUCAUGGAAUAAUCUAGCACAAACCUAGGAAAGCUGAAGCCACAAAGUCCGAAGCCACCUUUGCACUCACCUGCAGAGCUCCAGAAGACCUUGAUGGCAGCCCGCCAAUGCUGUGUGUUUGCUGUAUUCGAUCUUUACGGCUUCCUGACUUCUGUGACAGUAAGCCAAGCUGCAAAAAUACACUUGAUGAGAAUUUCCUCUUUUAAUAAUGUCUUUUGAACACCAAAUAUUUUAGAUUUAUAUUAUUUGAAAGUAUUAGUUCCAUUGUGCCUGGAAACCACACUCCUUUAGAUUGGGGGCCGAGAGGAGACGACCCAACAUUGAGGACAGUUUAUUUUUAAACAUGGCUAGUUGUCAGUAUGUACGUGAGCUAGUAUUUUUAUGAGUAGAGUUUUUUAAAGGCACAUUCUGUAUACUGCUUAGUAUAUGCAUUUUAUACCAUGUAAUUAUAUAGCACUCAAAUAAGUUCAGCAUUAGAAAUGUUUAGCUGGCCGGGCGCGGUGGCUCAAGCCUGUAAUCCCAGCACUUUGGGAGGCCGAGACGGGCGGAUCACGAGGUCAGGAG